UCUCUAUUUGGCAUUUUUUUCUGUUUAUGGUUAUUUCUCUCCAGAACGAUGUCUUUUACAUUCAACGAAAAUAUUAUUUUGGAACAUAAAAAAUAAAAUAAAGAGGAUCCAUCAAGUAUUAUCAUUAUUGCCUAGCACACACACACAAUGAAUGGCAAUCAAUCGAUUAUUAUGAUGAUCCUUUUGAUGGCUGCUGAUUAGAUUCAUUCAAAAAAAAUGCGGGACUAAUAGGUCAAAAAAAACAACAUUCAUUUUGAGUUAUUUAUGGAACAUGACACGUGCAAUCAUAUAAUGAACACACGCACACAUUUCAAUUAAAUUAUUCGUUGAAACUUAAACGUUUGUUGUGUUAUUAUACAUCUUGUUCCUGAAAAACUUGUUGUUGUUGUAUUUCGGACAUUAAGUAAUAACAGGAUUUAAUUAAAAGAAACAUUGCCACAAAAUGAAAAAUGAAAAUCAAUUAAUCAAGACUAAAAAUAUAUCCGAGUCAAUGUAUCAAUUUGUGUUCUUAUUCCUGGAUCUAACGAUAACGAUAACGAUGAUGAUGAUGAUGAUGGACAAUCGUACACGUAGAUGACGUCUAUGAUCGAAAACGGUGACGAAUAUUUGACGACGAUUCAAACAAAGAGAUUCCAACAACAACAAAAAAUUGUUAUUUAUGACCAAUUUAGCAGAAAUAAAAGAG
This is a non-coding RNA of Dermatophagoides farinae (American house dust mite), 685 nucleotides long. Lineage: Eukaryota; Metazoa; Arthropoda; Arachnida; Sarcoptiformes; Pyroglyphidae. The record is from RefSeq and is a predicted model, not a curated record.